This is a long non-coding RNA of Papaver somniferum (opium poppy), 536 nucleotides long. RefSeq lists it as uncharacterized. Lineage: Eukaryota; Viridiplantae; Streptophyta; Magnoliopsida; Ranunculales; Papaveraceae. The transcript is spliced from 3 exons. The record is from RefSeq and is a predicted model, not a curated record.
UUUGUUCUACAGAUGCUUGCAAGAUUUUUUCUUCUGAUCGGUGGUUGUCGUUUAUUUUUGCAGGUUCUAAAAAGAUAUGGUCGAUUGAGCUUCUCUACUUCGAAAUCAGCUUAGGCAGCAAACAGAAAAACUGACAAAGCUAUGGAUGGUCACCAGAAAGUACCAGGCCAGAACUCAACAAUGAGACCAUGCAAGUGAAGAUCUCGAACUAUGUUGCUUCAACGUCCUUUAUCACAUAGCUGGUAGUCAUGGUUGCUUCAACGUCCUUUAUCACAUAACUGGUAGUCAUAUUCAAGAGACCUUACAAUUCGGUAUUUCUUCAAUUAGGUUUCUUUGUUAUAAUUGUAAACAUAUUUUGCAUGUAAAGGGGAUAUUUUGACGAAGAAUAUGCAAAUAGAUCGAAAAAGGAAAAUAGGUAUUAUGCUGGCUAUUCCAAAUAAUUGAUAGUGUUUCAGCUGUUGGAGACAUCUAUAUUGUGACCAACACCAACAUACUGAAGGUUCAUGGAUCAAUCAACUAUAUACUGCAUUAUAAUG